AGUUUAGUCCUGGCUCAGAACGAACGCUGGCGGCAGGCCUAACACAUGCAAGUCGAGCGCGCCUUUCGGGGCGAGCGGCGGACGGGUUAGUAACGCGUGGGAAUAUGCCCAAAGGUACGGAAUAGCCUCUGGAAACGGAGAGUAAUACCGUAUGUGCCCUUCGGGGGAAAGAUUUAUCGGAAUUGGAUUAGCCCGCGUUAGAUUAGAUAGUUGGUGGGGUAAUGGCCUACCAAGUCGACGAUCUAUAGCUGGUUUGAGAGGAUGAUCAGCAACACUGGGACUGAGACACGGCCCAGACUCCUACGGGAGGCAGCAGUGGGGAAUCUUAGACAAUGGGCGCAAGCCUGAUCUAGCCAUGCCGCGUGAGUGAUGAAGGCCUUAGGGUCGUAAAGCUCUUUCGCCAGGGAUGAUAAUGACAGUACCUGGUAAAGAAACCCCGGCUAACUACGUGCCAGCAGCCGCGGUAAUACGUAGGGGGCUAGCGUUGUCCGGAAUUACUGGGCG
RNAcentral lists this ribosomal RNA (504 nucleotides) under uncultured Alphaproteobacteria bacterium. RNAcentral's name for it is "bacterial SSU rRNA". It matches the Rfam family "Bacterial small subunit ribosomal RNA", at positions 10 to 560 of the family's 1533-position model. Lineage: Bacteria; Pseudomonadati; Pseudomonadota; Alphaproteobacteria. The record is from RNAcentral.